AGUGGUGAAAUAUUCGGGCUCAACCNGGGAUACUGCCAUUGAUACUGUAUAGCUGGAAUAUGGUUGCUGUGGGUGGAAUGUGUGGUGUAGCGGUGAAAUGCAUAGAUAUCACACAGAAUAUCGAUUGCGAAGGCAACUCACAAAGCCAUUAUUGACGCUGAUGCACGAAAGUGUGGGGAUCAAACAGGAUUAGAUACCCUGGUAGUCCACACUGUAAACGAUGAUAACUAGCUGUCGGCGAUAGAUAGUCGGUGGCUAAGCGAAAGCGAUAAGUUAUCCACCUGGGGAGUACGACCGCAAGGUUGAAACUCAAAGGAAUUGACGGGGGCCCGCACAAGCGGAGGAACAUGUGGUUUAAUUCGAUGAUACGCGAGGAACCUUACCCGGGCUCGAACGGUGCAGGAAUAUGGUAGAGAUAUCAUAGCUAGCAAUAGUCUGUAUCGAGGUGCUGCAUGGUUGUCGUCAGCUCGUGCCGUGAGGUGUCGGCUUAAGUGCCAUAACGAGCGCAACCCUUGUCGUUAGUUACCAUCAAGUAAAGUUGGGGACUCUAGCGAGACUGCCACCGUAAGGUGUGAGGAAGGGGGGGAUGACGUCAAAUCAGCACGGCCCUUACGUCCGGGGCGACACACGUGUUACAAUGGUAGGUACAGAGGGGCGCUAUCCAGUGAUGGAGUGCGAAUCUCAAAAACCUAUCUCAGUUCGGAUUGGAGUCUGCAACUCGACUCCAUGAAGUUGGAUUCGCUAGUAAUCGCGCAUCAGCCAUGGCGCGGUGAAUACGUUCCCGGGCCUUGUACACACCGCCCGUCAAGCCAUGGAAGCCGGGGGUGCCUGAAGUUCGUGACCGCAAGGAGCGACCUAGGGCAAAACUGGUAACUGGGGCUAAGUCGUAACAAGGUAACC
RNAcentral lists this ribosomal RNA (900 nucleotides) under uncultured Bacteroidota bacterium. RNAcentral describes it as "bacterial SSU rRNA". It matches the Rfam family "Bacterial small subunit ribosomal RNA", at positions 590 to 1501 of the family's 1533-position model. Lineage: Bacteria; Pseudomonadati; Bacteroidota. The record is from RNAcentral.